This 402-nucleotide ribosomal RNA is filed under the name uncultured bacterium. RNAcentral's name for it is "bacterial SSU rRNA". It matches the Rfam family "Bacterial small subunit ribosomal RNA", at positions 355 to 774 of the family's 1533-position model. RNAcentral also lists the same sequence under 1 other name. The record is from RNAcentral.
UGGGGAAUAUUGCACAAUGGGGGAAACCCUGAUGCAGCGACGCCGCGUGAAGGAAGAAGUAUCUCGGUAUGUAAACUUCUAUCAGCAGGGAAGAAAAUGACGGUACCUGACUAAGAAGCCCCGGCUAACUACGUGCCAGCAGCCGCGGUAAUACGUAGGGGGCAAGCGUUAUCCGGAUUUACUGGGUGUAAAGGGAGCGUAGACGGAUGGACAAGUCUGAUGUGAAAGGCUGGGGCUCAACCCCGGGACUGCAUUGGAAACUGCCCGUCUUGAGUGCCGGAGAGGUAAGCGGAAUUCCUAGUGUAGCGGUGAAAUGCGUAGAUAUUAGGAGGAACACCAGUGGCGAAGGCGGCUUACUGGACGGUAACUGACGUUGAGGCUCGAAAGCGUGGGGAGCAAACA